Molecule: ribosomal RNA, 300 nt
Filed under: uncultured Oceanisphaera sp.
Lineage: Bacteria; Pseudomonadati; Pseudomonadota; Gammaproteobacteria; Aeromonadales; Aeromonadaceae
Description: bacterial SSU rRNA
Rfam family: Bacterial small subunit ribosomal RNA
Source: RNAcentral
GUAACUUGGUGGCAGCAGCGGGGGUAAGACGGAGGGGGCGGGGGUUGUCCGGAAGUAGUGGGCGGCAAGAGUUCGUGGGCGGGGGGUCGCGGUGGCCGUGAAAACGUGCAGCUUAACGGUGGGCGUGCGGUGGAUACGGGCAUCACUGGAGUUCGGCAGGGGAGACUGGAAUUCCUGGUGUAGCGGUGAAAUGCGCAGAUAUCAGGAGGAACACCGGUGGCGAAGGCGGGUCUCUGGGCCGAUACUGACGCUGAGGAGCGAAAGCGUGGGGAGCGAACAGGAUUAGAUACCCGAGUAGUC